RNAcentral lists this ribosomal RNA (501 nucleotides) under uncultured bacterium. Its description in RNAcentral is "partial 16S ribosomal RNA". It matches the Rfam family "Bacterial small subunit ribosomal RNA", at positions 30 to 523 of the family's 1533-position model. The record is from RNAcentral.
AUUGAACGCUGGCGGCAGGCUUAACACAUGCAAGUCGAGCGGGGGAAGGUAGCUUGCUACCGGACCUAGCGGCGGACGGGUGAGUAAUGCUUAGGAAUCUGCCUAUUAGUGGGGGACAACAUCUCGAAAGGGAUGCUAAUACCGCAUACGUCCUACGGGAGAAAGCAGGGGAUCUUCGGACCUUGCGCUAAUAGAUGAGCCUAAGUCAGAUUAGCUAGUUGGUGGGGUAAAGGCCUACCAAGGCGACGAUCUGUAGCGGGUCUGAGAGGAUGAUCCGCCGCACUGGGACUGAGACACGGCCCAGACUCCUACGGGAGGCAGCAGUGGGGAAUAUUGGACAAUGGGGGGAACCCUGAUCCAGCCAUGCCGCGUGUGUGAAGAAGGCCUUAUGGUUGUAAAGCACUUUAAGCGAGGAGGAGGCUACUUUAGUUAAUACCUAGAGAUAGUGGACGUUACUCGCAGAAUAAGCACCGGCUAACUCUGUGCCAGCCGCCGCGGUAA